AUUGAACGCUGGCGGCAUGCCUAACACAUGCAAGUCGAACGAGUGGCGGACGGGUGAGUAAUGUCUUGGAAACUGCCUGAUGGAGGGGGAUAACUACUGGAAACGGUAGCUAAUACCGCAUACCAUCAGAUGUGCCCAGAUGGGAUUAGCUAGUUGGUGGGGUAACGGCUCACCAAGGCUACGAUCCCUAGCUGGUCUGAGAGGAUGACCGUACACACUAGGACUGAGUCACGGUCCAGACUCCUACGGGAGGCAGCAUUGGGGAAUAUUCCACAAUGGGCGCAAGCCUGAUGCAGCCAUGCCGCGUGUAUGAAGAAGGCCUUCGGGUUGUAAAGUACUUUCAGCGGGGAGGCGUUACCCUCACAAGAAGCACCGGCUAACUCCGUGCCAGCAGCCGCGGUAAUUC
Molecule: ribosomal RNA, 406 nt
Filed under: uncultured bacterium
Lineage: Bacteria
Description: partial 16S ribosomal RNA
Rfam family: Bacterial small subunit ribosomal RNA
Source: RNAcentral